GAUGAACGCUGGCGGCGUGCCUAAUACAUGCAAGUCGAGCGAACGGACGAGGAGCUUGCCCCUCUGACGUUAGCGGCGGACGGGUGAGUAACACGUGGAUAACCUACCUAUAAGACUGGGAUAACUUCGGGAAACCGGAGCUAAUACCGGAUAAUAUAUUGAACCGCAUGGUUCAAUAGUGAAAGACGGUUUUGCUGUCACUUAUAGAUGGAUCCGCGCCGCAUUAGCUAGUUGGUAAGGUAACGGCUUACCAAGGCAACGAUGCGUAGCCGACCUGAGAGGGUGAUCGGCCACACUGGAACUGAGACACGGUCCAGACUCCUACGGGAGGCAGCAGUAGGGAAUCUUCCGCAAUGGGCGAAAGCUUGACGGAGCAACGCCGCGUGAGUGAUGAAGGUCUUCGGAUCGUAAAACUCUGUUAUUAGGGAAGAACAAAUGUGUAAGUAACUAUGCACGUCUUGACGGUACCUAAUCAGAAAGCCACGGCUAACUACGUG
This 497-nucleotide ribosomal RNA is filed under the name uncultured bacterium. RNAcentral's name for it is "partial 16S ribosomal RNA". It matches the Rfam family "Bacterial small subunit ribosomal RNA", at positions 28 to 507 of the family's 1533-position model. The record is from RNAcentral.